This 644-nucleotide ribosomal RNA is filed under the name uncultured Alphaproteobacteria bacterium. RNAcentral describes it as "bacterial SSU rRNA". It matches the Rfam family "Bacterial small subunit ribosomal RNA", at positions 87 to 766 of the family's 1533-position model. The record is from RNAcentral. Lineage: Bacteria; Pseudomonadati; Pseudomonadota; Alphaproteobacteria.
UCGGAGCAGUGGCGGACGGGUGAGUAACGCGUGGGAACGUGCCCUUUGGUUCGGAACAACACAGGGAAACUUGUGCUAAUACCGGAUGUGCCCUUCGGGGGAAAGAUUUAUCGCCAUCGGAGCGGCCCGCGUUGGAUUAGGUAGUUGGUGGGGUAAUGGCCCACCAAGCCGACGAUCCAUAGCUGGUCUGAGAGGAUGAUCAGCCACACUGGGACUGAGACACGGCCCAGACUCCUACGGGAGGCAGCAGUGGGGAAUCUUGCGCAAUGGGCGAAAGCCUGACGCAGCCAUGCCGCGUGAAUGAUGAAGGUCUUAGGAUUGUAAAAUUCUUUCACCGGGGAAGAUAAUGACGGUACCCGGAGAAGAAGCCCCGGCUAACUUCGUGCCAGCAGCCGCGGUAAUACGAAGGGGGCUAGCGUUGCUCGGAAUUACUGGGCGUAAAGGGCGCGUAGGCGGACAGUUAAGUCAGAGGUGAAAGCCCAGGGCUCAACCUUGGAAUUGCCUUUGAUACUGGCUGUCUUGAGUUCGGGAGAGGUGAGUGGAAUGCCGAGUGUAGAGGUGAAAUUCGUAGAUAUUCGGCGGAACACCAGUGGCGAAGGCGACUCACUGGCCCGAUACUGACGCUGAGGCGCGAAAGCGUGGGG